UACGUAGGGUGCAAGCGUUAAUCGGAAUUACUGGGCGUAAAGCGUGCGCAGGCGGUGAUGUAAGACAGAUGUGAAAUCCCCGGGAUCAACCUGGGAACUGCAUUUGUGACUGCAUCGCUAGAGUACGGCAGAGGGGGAUGGAAUUCCGCGUGUAGCAGUGAAAUGCGUAGAUAUGCGGAGGAACACCGAUGGCGAAGGCAGCCUUCUGGGCCAACACUGACGCUCAUGCACGAAAGCGUGGGGAGCAAACAGG
RNAcentral lists this ribosomal RNA (253 nucleotides) under uncultured bacterium. RNAcentral describes it as "partial 16S ribosomal RNA". It matches the Rfam family "Bacterial small subunit ribosomal RNA", at positions 524 to 776 of the family's 1533-position model. The record is from RNAcentral.